UGCGUUGGCUGCUCAUGCAU
This 20-nucleotide small nuclear RNA is filed under the name Arabidopsis thaliana (thale cress). RNAcentral describes it as "snRNA_00509". The record is from RNAcentral. Lineage: Eukaryota; Viridiplantae; Streptophyta; Magnoliopsida; Brassicales; Brassicaceae.